UACGUAGGGGGCAAGCGUUGUCCGGAAUCAUUGGGCGUAAAGAGCGCGUAGGCGGCCCUGUAAGUCCGCUGUGAAAGUCAAGGGCUCAACCCUUGGAUGCCGGUGGAUACUGCAGGGCUAGAGUCCGGAAGAGGCGAGUGGAAUUCCUGGUGUAGCGGUGAAAUGCGCAGAUAUCAGGAGGAACACCGGUGGCGAAGGCGGCAUCCUGGACCGGCAUUGACGCUGAGGCGCGAAAGCCAGGGGAGCAAACGGG
Molecule: ribosomal RNA, 253 nt
Filed under: uncultured bacterium
Lineage: Bacteria
Description: partial 16S ribosomal RNA
Rfam family: Bacterial small subunit ribosomal RNA
Source: RNAcentral